CAUUAGGCUUUCUACCCCGAAUCCAAGGAACAUCGGUUCGGGCAAGGUUUCUGAAAUCAGGAGUGCAAUUCAGGCCCUUGAUGUUGAGACUGUCAUUUUCGAUGAUGAGUUAUCCCCUGGGUCACCUCGGCACAGAUGGAAUAUCAACUUCCUAGGUUGACAAAGAUGUGUGGAGUCACCUUGAACGGCAGGCGGGAGGUCAAGUUAAGGGUAUGGGUGAGAAGCAAAUUGAAGUUGACAAACGCAUCUUGAGAACUCAAAUGAAGAAUGGGACUGAGUUCCUUCUAACCGAUACUGUCGGAUUCAUUCAGAAGUUACCCACCAUGCUGGUAUAUAUCUCCAAAGCAUAUUCCUCUUCUUUAGAUGUUAUGUUCCAGAAGACUAGAACUGCAACAUACUUAUGAUUUUUGCCUUAUCCUUAUGAUGUUAACUCUUAAUAUAUUAAUUAUUGAUACUUGUCCAGGUAUUUGCUAAUUGAUCACUAAUUGUAAUCAAAUUCUAACAUUAGUAUCACGAUAAAAGUACUGCUGAUGUGAAAGUACUGCAGUAUUUCCAA
Molecule: long non-coding RNA, 556 nt
Organism: Phragmites australis (common reed)
Lineage: Eukaryota; Viridiplantae; Streptophyta; Magnoliopsida; Poales; Poaceae
Exons: 3
Source: RefSeq, a predicted model, not a curated record